Molecule: ribosomal RNA, 492 nt
Filed under: uncultured bacterium
Lineage: Bacteria
Description: partial 16S ribosomal RNA
Rfam family: Bacterial small subunit ribosomal RNA
Source: RNAcentral
AGUGAACGCUGGCGGUAGGCCUAACACAUGCAAGUCGAACGGCAGCACAGUAAGAGCUUGCUCUUACGGGUGGCGAGUGGCGGACGGGUGAGGCAUACAUCGGAAUCUACUUUUUCGUGGGGGAUAACGUAGGGAAACUUACGCUAAUACCGCAUACGACCUACGGGUGAAAGCAGGGGAUCUUCGGACCUUGCGCGAUUGAAUGAGCCGAUGUCGGAUUAGCUAGUUGGCGGGGUAAAGGCCCACCAAGGCGACGAUCCGUAGCUGGUCUGAGAGGAUGAUCAGCCACACUGGAACUGAGACACGGUCCAGACUCCUACGGGAGGCAGCAGUGGGGAAUAUUGGACAAUGGGCGCAAGCCUGAUCCAGCCAUACCGCGUGGGUGAGGAAGGCCUUCGGGUUGUAAAGCCCUUUUGUUGGGAAAGAAAAGCAGCAGGUUAAUACCCCGCUGUUCUGACGGUACCCAAAGAAUAAGCACCGGCUAACUUCGUG